This 53-nucleotide transfer RNA is filed under the name Rhynchocyon petersi (black and rufous elephant shrew). RNAcentral's name for it is "partial tRNA-Thr". The record is from RNAcentral. Lineage: Eukaryota; Metazoa; Chordata; Mammalia; Macroscelidea; Macroscelididae.
CCCUAGUAGUAUAAACYAUUACAAUGGYCUUGUAAGCCAUAGAUGGAAGUAUG